This 463-nucleotide ribosomal RNA is filed under the name uncultured bacterium. Its description in RNAcentral is "partial 16S ribosomal RNA". It matches the Rfam family "Bacterial small subunit ribosomal RNA", at positions 28 to 507 of the family's 1533-position model. The record is from RNAcentral.
GAUGAACGCUGACAGAAUGCUUAACACAUGCAAGUCUUUGGCGAAUCUGUGCUUGCACAGGCUAGCCAAGGCGGACGGGUGAGUAACGCGUAAAGAACUUGCCCUGCAGACAGGGAUAACAGACGGAAACGACUGAUAACACCUGAUACAGUUGCCGGCACGCAUGUGCCUGGCAAUGAAAAGAGAUGCUGCAGGAGAGCUUUGCGUCCUAUUAGCUUGUUGGUGAGGUGACGGCUCACCAAGGCGAUGAUAGGUAGCCGGCCUGAGAGGGUGAACGGCCACAAGGGGACUGAGAUACGGCCCUUACUCCUACGGGAGGCAGCAGUGGGGAAUAUUGGACAAUGGGGGCAACCCUGAUCCAGCAAUUCUGUGUGCACGAAGUAGGUUUUCGGAUUGUAAAGUGCUUUCAGCAGGGAAGAAGAAAGUGACGGUACCUGCAGAAGAAGCGGCGGCUAAAUACGUG